AAUGUGACAUAGAGGCCGCGGUUGUUAUAAGUACUGACUACAGGAAAGGAACACCCGCCGAAAUACAUAAAAUUUAAUUUUAUGUAUUGGGAUUAUACUGAAUAAGUAUAGUACUGUCUUUGAAAAAUUGCCCGAUUUUUUAAAGGAGUGCUUGUCAUAUU
Molecule: non-coding RNA, 161 nt
Filed under: Clostridium carboxidivorans
Lineage: Bacteria; Bacillati; Bacillota; Clostridia; Eubacteriales; Clostridiaceae
Description: Lysine sequence
Rfam family: Lysine riboswitch aptamer
About the family: Riboswitches are metabolite binding domains within certain messenger RNAs that serve as precision sensors for their corresponding targets. Allosteric rearrangement of mRNA structure is mediated by ligand binding, and this results in modulation of gene expression.
Source: RNAcentral